Gorilla gorilla gorilla (western lowland gorilla) is the source of this 230-nucleotide non-coding RNA. It matches the Rfam family "Metazoan signal recognition particle RNA". Rfam says of the family: The signal recognition particle (SRP) is a universally conserved ribonucleoprotein. It is involved in the co-translational targeting of proteins to membranes. The eukaryotic SRP consists of a 300-nucleotide 7S RNA and six proteins: SRPs 72, 68, 54, 19, 14, and 9. The record is from Rfam. NCBI's taxonomy places the organism in Eukaryota, Metazoa, Chordata, Mammalia, Primates, Hominidae.
GCUGGGCAUGGUAGCACAUGCCUAUAGUCCCAUCACUCCAGAGGCUGAGGCAGGAGGAUCAUUGGAGCCCAGGAGUUUGAGGCUGCUGUGAGCUGUGCUAUGAUCAUGCCACUGCACUCCAGCCUGGGCAACNNNNNNNNNNGUUGCCCAGGCUGGAGUGCAGUGGCAUGAUCAUAGCACAGCUCACAGCAGCCUCAAACUCCUGGGCUCCAAUGAUCCUCCUGCCUCAG